GGUCUUAUAUUCAUUUAAUGAUAUUAGAAUGCAAUUCUGAUGGUGUAAUAUAUUUUCUAAGGCUU
This 65-nucleotide transfer RNA is filed under the name Cryptocercus maluogouensis. RNAcentral's name for it is "tRNA-Cys". RNAcentral also lists the same sequence under 1 other name. Lineage: Eukaryota; Metazoa; Arthropoda; Insecta; Blattodea; Cryptocercidae. The record is from RNAcentral.